RNAcentral lists this ribosomal RNA (477 nucleotides) under Shigella sonnei. Its description in RNAcentral is "partial 23S ribosomal RNA". It matches the Rfam family "Bacterial large subunit ribosomal RNA", at positions 2211 to 2687 of the family's 2925-position model. Lineage: Bacteria; Pseudomonadati; Pseudomonadota; Gammaproteobacteria; Enterobacterales; Enterobacteriaceae. The record is from RNAcentral.
UGUUUGAUGUUCUAACGUGGACCCGUGAUCCGGGUUGCGGACAGUGUCUGGUGGGUAGUUUGACUGGGGCGGUCUCCUCCUAAAGAGUAACGGAGGAGCACGAAGGUUGGCUAAUCCUGGUCGGACAUCAGGAGGUUAGUGCAAUGGCAUAAGCCAGCUUGACUGCGAGCGUGACGGCGCGAGCAGGUGCGAAAGCAGGUCAUAGUGAUCCGGUGGUUCUGAAUGGAAGGGCCAUCGCUCAACGGAUAAAAGGUACUCCGGGGAUAACAGGCUGAUACCGCCCAAGAGUUCAUAUCGACGGCGGUGUUUGGCACCUCGAUGUCGGCUCAUCACAUCCUGGGGCUGAAGUAGGUCCCAAGGGUAUGGCUGUUCGCCAUUUAAAGUGGUACGCGAGCUGGGUUUAGAACGUCGUGAGACAGUUCGGUCCCUAUCUGCCGUGGGCGCUGGAGAACUGAGGGGGGCUGCUCCUAGUACGAG